Molecule: ribosomal RNA, 464 nt
Filed under: uncultured bacterium
Lineage: Bacteria
Description: partial 16S ribosomal RNA
Rfam family: Bacterial small subunit ribosomal RNA
Source: RNAcentral
CCAGACUCCUACGGGAGGCAGCAGUGAGGAAUAUUGGUCAAUGGGCGGGAGCCUGAACCAGCCAUGCCGCGUGAAGGCGAGUGCCCUACGGGCGUUAAACUUCUUUUGUGCGGGAGCAAUAAGGGCCACGUGUGGCCCGAUGAGAGUACCGCACGAAUAAGCAUCGGCUAACUCCGUGCCAGCAGCCGCGGUAAUACGGGGGAUGCGAGCGUUAUCCGGAUUUAUUGGGUUUAAAGGGUGCGUAGGCGGAUCCGUAAGGCAGGUGGCAAAAUGGGGGGCCCCACCCCCUUCCCGCCAUUGAAACUGGCGCUCUUGAGUGGAAGAGAAGUAUGCGGAAUGCGUGGUGUAGCGGUGAAAUGCAUAGAUAUCACGCAGAACCCCGAUUGCGAAGGCAGCAUGCCGGCUUCCGACUGACGCUGAAGCACGAAAGCGUGGGGAUCGAACAGGAUUAGAUACCCCAGUAU